CCUACGGGAGGCAGCAGUGAGGAAUAUUGGUCAAUGGUUGGGAGACUGAACCAGCCAAGCCGCGUGAGGGAGGAAGGUACAGAGUAUCGUAAACCUCUUUUGUCAGGGAACAAAGGCGGGGACGUGACCCCGGAUGAGUGUACCUGAAGAAAAAGCAUCGGCUAACUCCGUGCCAGCAGCCGCGGUAAUACGGAGGAUGCGAGCGUUAUCCGGAUUUAUGGGGUUUAAAGGGUGCGCAGGCGGUCUGUUAAGUCAGCGGUCAAAGCCCGGGGCUCAACCCCGGCCCGCCGUUGAAACUGGCAGUCUCGAGUUGGAGAGAAGUAUGCGGAAUGCGCGGUGUAGCGGUGAAAUGCAUAGAUAUCGCGCAGAACUCCGAUUGCGAAGGCAGCAUGCCGGCUCCACACUGACGCUGAGGCACGAAAGCGUGGGUAUCGAACAGGAUUAGAUACCCGUGUAGUC
Molecule: ribosomal RNA, 459 nt
Filed under: uncultured bacterium
Lineage: Bacteria
Description: partial 16S ribosomal RNA
Rfam family: Bacterial small subunit ribosomal RNA
Source: RNAcentral